UGGGGAAUUUUGGACAAUGGGGGAAACCCUGAUCCAGCCAUCCCGCGUGUGCGAUGAAGGCCUUCGGGUUGUAAAGCACUUUUGGCAGGAAAGAAACGUCGCGGGUUAAUACCCCGCGAAACUGACGGUACCUGCAGAAUAAGCACCGGCUAACUACGUGCCAGCAGCCGCGGUAAUACGUAGGGUGCAAGCGUUAAUCGGAAUUACUGGGCGUAAAGCGUGCGCAGGCGGUUCGGAAAGAAAGAUGUGAAAUCCCAGAGCUUAACUUUGGAACUGCAUUUUUAACUACCGGGCUAGAGUGUGUCAGAGGGAGGUGGAAUUCCGCGUGUAGCAGUGAAAUGCGUAGAUAUGCGGAGGAACACCGAUGGCGAAGGCAGCCUCCUGGGAUAACACUGACGCUCAUGCACGAAAGCGUGGGGAGCAAACAGGAUUAGAUACCCUGGUAGUCCACGCCCUAAACGAUGUCAACUAGCUGUUGGGGCCUUCGGGCCUUGGUAGCGCAGCUAACGCGUGAAGCUGACCGCCUGGGGAGUACGGUCGCAAGAUUAAAACUCAAAUGAAUUGACGGGGUCAUAGC
RNAcentral lists this ribosomal RNA (577 nucleotides) under uncultured bacterium. RNAcentral's name for it is "partial 16S ribosomal RNA". It matches the Rfam family "Bacterial small subunit ribosomal RNA", at positions 355 to 925 of the family's 1533-position model. The record is from RNAcentral.